GCCUAGCUGGCCCAGUCAGUAGAGCAUGUGACUCCUGACCUUAGGGUUGUGAGUUCAAGCCCCAUGUUGGGUA
Molecule: transfer RNA, 73 nt
Filed under: Mustela putorius furo (domestic ferret)
Lineage: Eukaryota; Metazoa; Chordata; Mammalia; Carnivora; Mustelidae
Also listed under: 1 other name
Rfam family: tRNA
About the family: Transfer RNA (tRNA) molecules are approximately 80 nucleotides in length. Their secondary structure includes four short double-helical elements and three loops (D, anti-codon, and T loops). Further hydrogen bonds mediate the characteristic L-shaped molecular structure. tRNAs have two regions of fundamental functional importance: the anti-codon, which is responsible for specific mRNA codon recognition, and the 3' end, to which the tRNAs corresponding amino acid is attached (by aminoacyl-tRNA synthetases). tRNAs cope with the degeneracy of the genetic code in two manners: having more than one tRNA (with a specific anti-codon) for a particular amino acid; and 'wobble' base-pairing, i.e. permitting non-standard base-pairing at the 3rd anti-codon position.
Source: Rfam by way of RNAcentral